CCUACGGGUGGCAGCAGUCGAGAAUCAUUCACAAUGGGGGAAACCCUGAUGGUGCGACGCCGCGUGGGGGCAUGAAGGUCUUCGGAUUGUAAACCCCUGUCAUGUGGGAGCAAAUUAAAAAGAUAGUACCACAAGAGGAAGAGACGGCUAACUCUGUGCCAGCAGCCGCGGUAAUACAGAGGUCUCAAGCGUUGUUCGGAAUCACUGGGCGUAAGGCGUGCGUAGGCUGUUUCGUAAGUCGUGUGUGAAAGGCGCGGGCUCAACCCGCGGACGGCACAUGAUACUGCGAGACUAGAGUAAUGGAGGGGGAACCGGAAUUCUCGGUGUAGCAGUGAAAUGCGUAGAUAUCGAGAGGAACACUCGUGGCGAAGGCGGGUUCCUGGACAUUAACUGACGCUGAGGCACGAAGGCCAGGGGAGCGAAAGGGAUUAGAUACCCCUGUAGUC
RNAcentral lists this ribosomal RNA (446 nucleotides) under uncultured bacterium. Its description in RNAcentral is "partial 16S ribosomal RNA". It matches the Rfam family "Bacterial small subunit ribosomal RNA", at positions 338 to 795 of the family's 1533-position model. The record is from RNAcentral.